GAUGAACGCUGGCGGCGUGCCUAAUACAUGCAAGUCGAGCGAACGGACGAGGAGCUUGCUCCUCUGACGUUAGCGGCGGACGGGUGAGUAACACGUGGAUAACCUACCUAUAAGACUGGGAUAACUUCGGGAAACCGGAGCUAAUACCGGAUAAUAUAUUGAACCGCAUGGUUCAAUAGUGAAAGACGGUUUUGCUGUCACUUAUAGAUGGAUCCGCGCCGCAUUAGCUAGUUGGUAAGGUAACGGCUUACCAAGGCAACGAUGCGUAGCCGACCUGAGAGGGUGUGGGCCCACCCGGGAACUGGCCCCCGGCCCGGCCCCCAGCGGGGGGCGCCGGAGGGGAGUCUUCCUAAGGGGGCGAAGGCUGGACGGCACACCGCGGGGGGAGUGAGAAGGGUCUCGGGAUCUUAAACCUGUUUUAUGAGGAAGAAAAAAAUUUGUAAUAACCUAUGCCCUUCUUGCCGUUCCCUAAUCGAAGGGCCCCGGCUACCUCCGUC
This 497-nucleotide ribosomal RNA is filed under the name uncultured bacterium. RNAcentral describes it as "partial 16S ribosomal RNA". It matches the Rfam family "Bacterial small subunit ribosomal RNA", at positions 28 to 507 of the family's 1533-position model. The record is from RNAcentral.